Molecule: long non-coding RNA, 570 nt
Organism: Harpia harpyja (harpy eagle)
Lineage: Eukaryota; Metazoa; Chordata; Aves; Accipitriformes; Accipitridae
Exons: 3
Source: RefSeq, a predicted model, not a curated record
ACUUUGAUCAGCUCGCCCUAAAUUAGAGCAGAAGCGUUAGCCAAAAUGCAAGCAACCCGGGAAUUUGAGCUUGAAUACAAGUCAGAGCUCGCAGGACUGUGUUGGUCAUGAAAGCAUCUUUAUUCUUGAUCUGCAGGAAAGAUUUCCUCGUGCUGUUUUCUGUGCAGAACUGAUGGGAUCGGGAUUACUGUCUAUCAGGCGACAAGGGAACCCGCCAGCUCACAGAAGAAGAACCCCGAAUCUUUUGAUGUUCACGCAACUCUGUCUCUGCUGAAAGAGCCUCUCCUUUCCUUAACCCCGAUCACCAGUCAAUGCACCCACCUCCAGAUUUUCAGCAAGGAAGAGCAAUGGAAGCAAAGUUAACUGGCAGAAAAGAGCUGGAAGGCAGGUCGCUCUAAUUAUGCAGGAGCCUCCCUGGAGCGUUUGGAUGCCCAAAUCCUACUGACUUUGGACAGCUGGCUGGAGCUUCCCCAGGUGCACUUCUGCGUUUGAGGACAGAACUCUGCCUUUGCGUUUCACACACCAUCUUACCUGAACGGCCACACUGUAGGGAUCUGAGACUUCCCAGAA